Chelonia mydas (Green sea turtle) is the source of this 451-nucleotide long non-coding RNA. RefSeq lists it as uncharacterized. Lineage: Eukaryota; Metazoa; Chordata; Testudines; Cheloniidae. The record is from RefSeq and is a predicted model, not a curated record. The transcript has 3 exons.
GUGAGCUAGAGGCCCAAGGAAUCGCUCUCCAGACUGGGAGAGAGCAGGGCCUGGCUGCCUGCCUGACAGGCUCUGGAAAAUGUACAAAAUGACAUUAGUUUGAGGUGGAAGAAGAUACAAACCCCUCCUCAGAGAGAAGAGCAUUUGCCACCAGACUGGAAACAGAUCGACCAGCAGGGGAAGUUAACAGAUGCAUCCAGAAGAGAAGCGACACACUAGGGGAACGCAGUGAAGCAGCUGUAAGAGAUGAGAAGCUCACCGAAGAGGAGUUGAGCUACAAGGGACAGAACGCAGUGAAGCAACUGGAAGAGAUGAGAAGCACUAAAAGAGCUGGUAACAGCCCUCAAGCACUCCCCCCCACUAAAAACCAGAACUUAAUACAUUGAAUUUCCCUUACUAUUUUUAAGUAUUAUAUUCAGGUCAGCAUUUAAUAAAAGUUUUCUCAAGGUGA